CAGGUUAUUCUUAAAGUUAAGGUUUUCAUUUACACUGAAAUUUUUGUCGUGCAAUUCGAUUUAAUCUGA
RNAcentral lists this transfer RNA (69 nucleotides) under Theopompa sp. FY-2016a. Its description in RNAcentral is "tRNA-Val". The record is from RNAcentral. Lineage: Eukaryota; Metazoa; Arthropoda; Insecta; Mantodea; Gonypetidae.